Molecule: ribosomal RNA, 436 nt
Filed under: Stenotrophomonas maltophilia
Lineage: Bacteria; Pseudomonadati; Pseudomonadota; Gammaproteobacteria; Lysobacterales; Lysobacteraceae
Description: bacterial SSU rRNA
Rfam family: Bacterial small subunit ribosomal RNA
Source: RNAcentral
AGUGAACGCUGGCGGUAGGCCUAACACAUGCAAGUCGAGCGGCAGCACAGAGGAGCUUGCUCCUUGGGUGGCGAGUGGCGGACGGGUGAGGAAUACAUCGGAAUCUACUCUGUCGUGGGGGAUAACGUAGGGAAACUUACGCUAAUACCGCAUACGACCUACGGGUGAAAGCAGGGGAUCUUCGGACCUUGCGCGAUUGAAUGAGCCGAUGUCGGAUUAGCUAGUUGGCGGGGUAAAGGCCCACCAAGGCGACGAUCCGUAGCUGGUCUGAGAGGAUGAUCAGCCACACUGGAACUGAGACACGGUCCAGACUCCUACGGGAGGCAGCAGUGGGGAAUAUUGGACAAUGGGCGCAAGCCUGAUCCAGCCAUACCGCGUGGGUGAAGAAGGCCUUCGGGUUGUAAAGCCCUUUUGUUGGGAAAGAAAUCCAGCUGGC